This 390-nucleotide unclassified non-coding RNA is filed under the name Hevea brasiliensis (rubber tree). Lineage: Eukaryota; Viridiplantae; Streptophyta; Magnoliopsida; Malpighiales; Euphorbiaceae. The record is from RNAcentral.
GUACAACACUUGGAACUCAGAAGAAUCAUGACCAAAAAGACGCGUUUUCAGAAUUUAAUCUUCCAGGCACCAAAUGCAAAACUACAACUUGUUUUUUUGUUCUUCGCCCGCAAAUUAACUCCCAUCAGCAUAUAUAUGCAACUCGCAUCUUCAUCAAGGGCGGGAUUUACCAACGUAAGCUUCAUAUACAUAGAGAAUUUACACUUUCAUGAGUGAACAAGUGAAUACAGGCCAAGCCGCCAAGUGAAAAACAACAGCCUCAUGUUGACGACCAGCAUCUAAGGAACUUUUAAUUAGUUUUCAUAGAGCUUCGUAUACCAUUUCCUGAUCGCAUAUUGGGCAUGUUUGACUUCUUUCCAUCCACUCAAGAAUGCAUGAAAGAUGAAAAUG